Molecule: ribosomal RNA, 1543 nt
Filed under: metagenome
Description: bacterial LSU rRNA
Rfam family: Bacterial large subunit ribosomal RNA
Source: RNAcentral
CUGCUGAUCUGCUCUGGGUAAGUCGGGGCCUAAGGAGAGGUCGAAAGACGUAUCCGAUGGACAACAGGUUUAGAUUCCUGUACCACAUAUAAACAGAACUGUGGGGACGCAUGUGGAAAGCAUAAGCCGGGAAUGGAAAUACCGGUACAAACGGAAGAGGUGUCAGGCUGGCAAAUCCGCCUGGCAAGCCAAAGACGUGAUGUGGAGCGAAAUAAAAGUAGCGAAGUAUGUGAGCCAUGUGCCGAGAAAAGCCGCUAUUGUUUUAUAUGUGCCCGUACCGUAAACCGACACAGGUGGAUGAGGAGAGAAUCCUAAGGCCGACGGAAGAAGCAUUGUUAAGGAACUCGGCAAAAUGACCCCGUAACUUCGGGAGAAGGGGUGCCCACUUCAGGGUGGGCCGCAGAGAAUAGGCUCAAGCAACUGUUUAGCAAAAACACAGGUCUAUGCGAAACCGUAAGGUGAAGUAUAUGGGCUGACGCCUGCCCGGUGCUGGAAGGUUAAGAGGAGAGGUUAGUCGCAAGAUGAAGCUUUGAAUUUAAGCCCCAGUAAACGGCGGCCGUAACGAUAACGGUCCUAAGGUAGCGAAAUUCCUUGUCGGGUAAGUUCCGACCCGCACGAAAGGCGUAAUGAUUUGAGCACUGUCUCGACAAUGCAUCCGGUGAAAUUGAAGUACCAGUGAAGAUGCUGGUUACCCGCGCCAGGACGGAAAGACCCCAUGGAGCUUUACUCCAGUUUGGUACUGGGAUUCGGUACUGCAUGUACAGGAUAGGUGGGAGACUGAGAAAUUGGAACGCCAGUUUCAAUGGAGUCACUGUUGGGAUACCACCCCUGCAGUAUUGGGUUUCUAACCAGCCGCUGUGAUCCAGCGGUGGGACAAUGCCAGGCGGGGAGUUUGACUGGGGCGGUCGCCUCCGAAAGGGUAUCGGAGGCGCUCAAAGGUUCCCUCAGAAUGGUCGGAAACCAUUUUAAGAGUGCAAAGGCAGAAGGGAGCUUGACUGCGACACCGACGGGUGGAGCAGGUACGAAAGUAGGACUUAGUGAUCCGGUGGCAUAAAGUGGGAUUGCCAUCGCUCAACGGAUAAAAGCUACCCUGGGAUAACAGGCUUAUCACUCCCAAGAGUUCACAUCGACGGAGUGGUUUGGCACCUCGAUGUCGGCUCAUCGCAUCCUGGGGCUGUAGCAGGUCCCAAGGGUUGGGCUGUUCGCCCAUUAAAGCGGUACGCGAGCUGGGUUCAGAACGUCGUGAGACAGUUCGGUCCCUAUCCGGCGCGGGCGGAGGAUAUUUGAGAGGAGCUGUCCUUAGUACGAGAGGACCGGGAUGGACGGACCACUGGUGUAUCUGCUGUCGACCAACGGCAUGGCAGAGUAGCCAAGUCCGGAAGGGAUAAACGCUGAAGGCAUCUAAGCGUGAAGCCCCCCUCAAGAUGAGAUAUCCCUCACAUAAGUGAGUAAGAUCCCUUGAAGAGUACAAGGUAGAUAGGGCAGAGGUGGAAGCACGGUAACGUGUGGAGCUGACUGUUACUAAUCGAUCGAGGGCUUGACC